This 426-nucleotide long non-coding RNA is filed under the name Panax ginseng (ginseng). RNAcentral's name for it is "long non-coding RNA (PGIN_LNC009838)". The record is from RNAcentral. Lineage: Eukaryota; Viridiplantae; Streptophyta; Magnoliopsida; Apiales; Araliaceae.
AAUAAAUGAGCCCAAUCUACCCGGCCCAAAUAGGAGAAAUAUCAUGACCCAACAUUACCCCCUAGUUUUUUGUUAAACAGGAUGUUUAAUGGAAAACUAUAAACGAUUCAUGAUAUUAGAAUUUAAUAGAGGCCUAAAAUAGGAAAUAAUUGAGGCAUACCCACUUUAAUGCAUGAAAUGGGACGAGGGAUGGCUGGAUGCCUAGAGCAACAAGCCCAAUCGGAUAAAGGAUUUGAAUUUGAACAAGAUGGACCAAUAAUUAGAAACUCAACAGUUAGGCCCAAUCUGAUAAGAUAUCCAAAGGUCGUCCCAAACACGUCCCAUUCGAAUUCUCAUCAUCACUGACAUUUAAUGCGCCGGCCUCGUUCCCUGUGUAACCGUCAGUAUAAAAGGUAAACUUUACCAAUUUUGACGGUUUUACCUGCU